UACGGAAGGCAGCAGUGGGGAAUAUUGCACAAUGGGCGAAAGCCUGAUGCAGCUAUGCCGCGUGUAUGAAGAAGGCCUUAGGGUUGUAAAGUACUUUCAUCGGGGAGGAAAAAACAAAACUAAUAAUUUUAUUUCUUGACGUUACCCGAAAAAGAAGCACCGGCUAACUCCGUGCCAGCAGCCGCGGUAAUACGGAGGGUGCUAGCGUUAAUCAGAAUUACUGGGCGUAAAGAGCACGUAGGUGGUUUUUUUAAGUCAGAUGUGAAAUCCCUGGGCUUAACCUAGGAACUGCAUUUUGAAACUGAAAUACUAGAGUAUCGUAGAGGGAGGUAGAAUUCUAGGUGUAGCGGUGAAAUGCGUAAAUAUCUGGAGGAAUACCUGUGGCGAAAGCGGCCUCCUAAACGAAUACUGACACUGAGGGUGCGAAAAGCGUGGGGAGCAAACAGGGAUUAGAUA
RNAcentral lists this ribosomal RNA (456 nucleotides) under uncultured bacterium. RNAcentral's name for it is "bacterial SSU rRNA". It matches the Rfam family "Bacterial small subunit ribosomal RNA", at positions 340 to 784 of the family's 1533-position model. The record is from RNAcentral.